Molecule: long non-coding RNA, 6288 nt
Filed under: Olea europaea subsp. europaea
Lineage: Eukaryota; Viridiplantae; Streptophyta; Magnoliopsida; Lamiales; Oleaceae
Source: RNAcentral
CAAAUAAUGAAAAUGAAUGAAAACACGGGAGACGGGACCAAAUUGAUAACAACCUUUAUCUCUUUCUUUUUACUCUCUAUCCUGUAAGAUACAACAGAUGUUUCUAGGGUUUGCUCUGCCUACCCAUUCAGAUAUUGAAGAAUCUCAAGGGCUCAUCCUCAUCUCCUAUACUCGCAUCGUAUUUUCUGCUCAAUACUAUAUUCAAAUCUAGGUAUUUCUUUGGUGCUUUUCCUUCCGAUUCCCUCAUUUUUAGAUUGUGUUUUUCUUUUUUUGAAGCUUGAAUUUGCCAGGUUUUUCUCCAUCUCUCUCUCUCUAAUAUAUUUAUACAGGGGUGAUUUUUGGAUGUUUUGGAUCGGUUAACUUUUUGUUUAUUCUCGGGACAGGAUUUGAUGGUUAAUUAUUGUAAUUACUGCUAUCAUAUGAUUUUAACUCCAAUUCGUUCUUGCAUAUAAUGCCAAUUCCACAUUUCAUUAGCAUUGGUAUUAUAUUGUUCUUGAAGUCAACAGGUUGUGGGAAUUUGCAAUUUAGCCAUAUUUGUGUUACGGAAUUGAAUUUUAGUAUUUCUUUUAUGGGUGGACUGGGGUGUGUAGGAAAUGGAGAUUUUGACAUAUAGAGCGGAUGUGUAUUUCAGUUGUAUGUAAGCCUAAAUGUAAAUGGUAAUAACCCUAGUUGGCCUUUUAUGCUUUAUUAUUUUAGAUAAAAAGCUUUUCUAGGAAAAAAGAGUUAAGAUAUCCUUCCAAUUUUGUCCAUGUUCAACAGUAUGACUCAUUAUACUUGAGUUUUCAAGAAUAAGUCCUGUAGGAUUGUUCAAUAUCAACCACCAAAUUUUGUUUGUGAGAUGAAAGGAGUUUCUCUAUGAGGUAAUAGAAGGAUAUGCUUCAUGCCAUUAUCAAGAAGCCAUAAAAAUAUGACCUUUACCUAGUGAACUUAUACUGGUUACUAAUUAUGUUUUCUAUGUCGAUGGAUGUUGCCAUUUUUGGAAAUUUUAAUGUCCUCAUUAUAAAUUGACUUUAACAAUUGGACAAAUUGAUGAGUAAGGAUGGCUUGCCUACUCAGAAUAGAAUAUUGAAUUAUAUUUCUUGGUUCAGAAUACUAAUAAUUGGAUGACACAGAAGCUCUUUCAUUCUCAAUGAAGUGACAAAAUUUUAAUUAUUUCCAUCUCUUGUUUCUCUUAUCCUUUAUUGCCACUUCAAAAUGGAUAUCACAAGUCUGUUACUGCUACAGUCUAAGAAAUGAAACCUGCAUUAGUGCUGCCAUUGUCUUUGGCUUAGAUGCUUUGAUAUUUGUUUAUUGUAUGUUUGCUAAGGCACUUCAAGGUUUUCCACCGGAAAUAAUUUAAAACUUGAGCAGGUUAUUUUAGUUUUGCUUAACAUGUUAUCGUUGCAUUAAAUACAUCAAUAUUUCCUCCUCAAAUCACCAUGGAAGGUCUUAUAUAUUUCUUGACAAUUUGAUGUAUAUUCAAUAUAGCUUACAUGGGUGGUCACAGAGUUAAGAAUAAGGAACCAAUGUCAUGGUCGGACGAGAAUGCAGGGCCGGUCAUGUAUAGAGGCCCAAAAUCGGUGGGGGCCUAUUUUUGGCCCAACUUUUUUUUUUAAAGAAAGGAAAGGGAAAAUUUGCUUUCAUUCUUGUCUAGGUCUGCUCUGCUCGACCUCAACGCCGUCACGUUGACGCCACAACUCCAAUCGGACCGACGACCAUGCAACUGCCUCAUUUCCUUAGGUGGCUUCUUCUUCCCUUCCCUUCACUCUUUCACAAAUCACAACAAGAGAGAACAAAUCACAACAAUCUAGCCCUUUUUUCAACCUUAACAGCAAAUUUAGCUCCAUUCUAUUGUUAACGUUUGCAAAAUGCCAAAAUCCAUUCAGCCAUUUCAUUGAAGCAGAAGAACUUUUUAAUCGUUACCCUUGGAAGCAGAAGAUCGGAGGUCUGUACAGGUUAAGCGUAUGUUGAUUUGUCUGUUGUACAUGUGGCUCAUAUAGAGUGGAACACAGGCCCUGAAUCAAAUGGGCCGAUGCCGGCGCGGAGUGGAGCGACGGCAUCGGCCUUGUGCGGGUUUAAUUCACUGUCUGGUUGUUAGGGACGUUGAAUGGGUUGGGGGUGCGGGGGGCGGUACGGUACAAGGGUAUUUUCUGUACGGGCCUUAAAGUUUUAUAUGGGCCCAGAUUAGGGUUAGUAUAAAUAAUAUGUUGUAACUCUAUUUUUCACAACAGAAUAAAGAAAUCUCCGCUUCGCUCUCGUGGACGUAGGCACAUCGCCGAACCACGUAAAAUUCUUGUGUUGAUUUCCGUUUUUCAUCUCUUUAAUAUUGCGCAUAAAAUCCAACAUUGUCUAAAUGGAUUGAUAUAAUUAUAUGUAAUUGUUAUCUUGGACCCUUGGUCUAAAACCUCAGACAUUGUUUACAUGGUUCUUACUUUGUGUUGUGGUUUUUAAUUAGAAUGGUGCAUCUUUUAGUUUUUAAUGAAACUGUGAAGCAUGUACAGGAGAUAAAGUGAUUUAUACUUCGCUUGCAGUUAUGCUUUUGUUGUUUGUGUGUGCUUUAUGCUGAGUUCUGGAAUUCUGAUGCACUGCUUGCAGAACUCUGAAAUCUUGUUGUCAUCAUUUAAAGAGCUCGAUUGCUGUUAUAUUUUCAGUUUUAUUUGUGAAAUACUUCCUUGUUUUUAUAUGUUUGUUUGAACUUGAAUAAGAGAUGUGUAAUUUAUUUAGGAAUUGUUCGUGUCAAGGAUAAGGCCUGCUUAUGUGUUAUUCAGUUAUUGUUUUGUCCAUUCUAAUAUUAGUUAAUCGAGGAAGUCUAGGUAAAGUUCUUGAAGUUAGGUUGUGUAUCUAUUUGCAGAAUAUAAUAUUUUCUUAAUGAUUGUUUUUGGUUGCCGACAUAUUUGAAUAUCUAGUUUUCUUGUCAUAUAGUUCAAUGGUUGGGAUUUUUUACUCAAAAUGAUAGACUAUUGAGACAAGAUCGAAAAAUGUUUUUAUUUUGUUUGGGGAUGUGAUUAUGACUCACCUAGAAGUUACGGCAUGUUUGUGCAUAAUGCUACAUGGUAAAUGUUUUGUGAAAUGAUUCCUACUUUGUAGGAUAACAUUUAGCUAAAAUGAUCUACAGUUUUUAAAUUUUCUCAAACUUCUGUUAAACAGAAUAGAUUAAUGCAAUAGAAUUGUAUAUUUGUAUUGGUGGUUGAUGUUAAAUUUUUAUUUUAGGCUUGUGAGUUAUGAUGGUAGCAUUCUCAAGGGUGUGAUUUCAUAAUUUUCAUCGAAAUUCUACUUCUUAGGUAAACAAUAGCUUGCUUUAACUUGUUAUUGAAUAUAUUGAAAAUGUUUCAAACCUUGUCGGCUUAUAUAAUUGUCGUACAAUCGGCUCAUAUGAUUUGUUAUUGUAGGAUCAAUUUCACAUGCGCACAUAGUAACUAUAUUGAAAACAUUAAUUAUGAGAUGAUUGAGAUAUUUUGCAAUUGUUUUUUAGGUUAGUCUUUGAGCAUUAGAUAUAUACCAUGCCUCCUGAAUAUGAAUAUGGAGCUCUUUGUUAGCAAUAUGUUGCAUAAUACACUUUUGGAUUUUGCAUUUUCGCUCAUUUGGGGGGCCUAAUUUUUUGAGUUCGCCUCGGGUCUUGAAAAUCACAGGACCGGCCCUGCGAGAAUGAGCACGCUUUUAUCGAAAUUCUUUAGAGAAAGUGAAAUCAAAUUCAUUGUAAUGUUCUAUAUUCACGAAAGACGAAUAGAGCAGGAUCAAUGAAACCAUGAUAGCUUCAACAAAAAUUGAUUACGGCACAGAUAGAUUAAAGUGAAAGUUGAACCGCUUACGUAAGAUUCAUCAUAUGUUCUCUGAAUCUUUUGGGACAUAAAAGUGUCACAUGGGAUCCAAAUACCAACAAAGUUAAUGCUGCAAAGGAAGUUUGGCAACACCUUUAUACGGUACAUAUAUUUAUUAAAGAAUAUUUUCGUCAUUAGUUUUUAUCUUAUCAAUUUUACAUUUUUUUGUUGAAUACUAUGACAAUGUGACUUCUUUUAUCAAUGGUAGAUUAAAAAGUCGGAUUACGAGAUGUUCAGGAGCAAAGGAUGUAAGCACUAUUAAGCGGGACUACUGCUAUUGGAGGAUUAGGUAAUGCCUCCACUCAACUUCCAAACACAUUAGAGGAAGAAAGGCACCUAGAAUAUGAUUUUUUGAACAAGGGAGUGUAGGUACAUGCGAAAAAUGAUGAUAAAGUUGACAACAUUUCAAAUACUCAUCAACAUGAUGAGAUUGCUACAUCGGGUGAACUUCAAGGCCUACAUGGCACAGUGGUGAUCUAUAGUUAGUUUGAUGAAUAAAGAAACUGAAAUUAGAAUACCUUACCUAAAAGAAAAGCUUGCAAAGAUCCAAGGAAAAUCAUGUAAUCAAUCGGAUAGUGAAGUUAAAAGUUUGGAUCCUUAGUUAAAUGUUAUUUGCUUGGGCAUCUUAAACAAUAUGGAAUGGGUGUCCAACAAGGUUUAUAUGAAAGCAAUAGAGGCUUUUAAGAAUCCCGAUUUCAAGGUGUCAUUUGUAAAGAUGCUAGAGGCAAGGUGACCUAUUUUGGAACUACUUUGAUGUGACUGUUAUUUUAAUUUCUCUAGUAUCGUUUUGUUUUAAUUUGUGAUGUUGAAGGUUGAAAUACUGUGUUAUUUUCACAGCUUGAAGUACUUUUUUUCCUUUCAUGGUGUUGUACUGUUUUCAUUACGAACUUCGUGAUGCUGUUGGUCGUAGAACUGAUAUUAAUUUUUCUUUAGUUUCUGAAUGCAAUAUUGCUUGUUCUGUUUGAAAGAAUGAUGGUUGUAUUUUCUUUAGUUUAUGAUAAUUAUUGUGGUUAUAUUUUGUUCAUAGUAUGGCCAUGAAUCAAAUGUGGAUGAUACUGUGAGUACCUAUGAUUCCAUUGAUGAAGAUUCGAGUCAUGAUUAUUUUUUAUUUAUGGAUGAUUUUGACGCAAAUUUUGGAGAUUUAAUGAUGCUUAAUUGCUUUGUUGCCAACAAUGGAAGUACUAUUGGCAUGAGACCUUGUAGAAUAUCAUUGCUUGUGGGAAAAUGUAUAUGCUAGAAAUUCUGAAUGGACAUUCAGACAUGUGCUAUCGUAAUUUUUGUGUACAGAAACAUGUUUUCAUGAUUUUUUUUGAUAUUUUGAAAGAAAAAGGGUUGCUGAAAGAUGGAAAGAUGGAAAAAAAAAAGUGAGUGUCAAGGCAGGUAUUAAUAUGUUUUUGAUGAUUUUGGGGCACAUUACACAAAACAGUGUUAUUGGUGAUAGGCUUUAGCAUUCCAACUACACGAUACACAAAUAGUUUAAAUGAAUAGUAAGGGUUGUUUGUUCAUUUGGUACUGAGAUAAUUCGUCCGACAAAUCAAGACAUUGUGCAUGAGUGAAUUUUGCACAAAUAUCCUUUUUUAAGGAUUGUAUAGGCGCAAUAGAUGGAACAUAUGUUGCAGCUUGGGCACCUACAUUGAGACAAAAAUCUUUUCGUGGAAGGAAAAAUAAUAUAACCCAAAAUGUGAUGUUGAUAUAUGAUUUUGAUAUGAAAUCCACAUUUGUGUAUUUUGGUUGGGAAGGUACUGGUAAUGAUUUGUGAGUAUUCAUUGACGCAGUUACAAGAAGUUCGAACAACUUUCCAAUGUCAAGGGGAGGUACAUUUUUAUACUUCAAAUAAUUAAUGCGAAUAUAUUUACAGUGUCACACUAUGUAAGCCUUUUUUUUUUUAUUUUGCAGAUCAAUUUCACCUUGUUGAUUCUCGAUAUCCAAACAUGUCUGGAUUUCUUGCCCCUGCUCAGGGUUAAAGAUAUCAUCUGCAUUACUAUGUUGGACGGGGAAGACUACGUAGGAAGGAAGAAUUGUUCAACUAUAGACACUCCUCAUCUCGUAACAUUAUUGAAUGUUGCAUUGGAGUUUUAAAAGGCAAGAUUUCCAAUUUUGACAAAUCCCUACUACAUGUUACACAAUAAACUACUUUAUUCGUUAGGAGCACGUUUUAGAUAAGUUGGUUGUUGAGUAUUCAGAGGAGAAUAUGGUGUUUCAAGAUAUACCAGAGUCAAGACAAGAUCAAGAAAUCAUACAUUUUGAUAUUAAACAAAGAGCUCAAAUGGGACAAGUUAGGGAUCAAAUUGCUACACAAAUGUGGAAUGACUACUCAAAAUGUUGUACAUGAUUUUGUGAAAGUACUUUAUAUAUUGUUUAGUGUCUGCUUGUUUUGCCUUGACACAUAAACUUCUAAUAGUAUCUAUUGAACUGUUUUGCCAAAUUUAAUUUAGGUUGCAUUUUUUAUAUCUGUUAAAAAAAUAUUUCAAGCCAAGUUCGAACACGAAUG